CGAACAGCAGGGAAGGGGAGGAGUAAGGUUGAUCCUCACUGAAGAGAGGAGGUCCUUGGGCUGAAAGACCUCUGGAGGCAAUGCCUGAAGUCGCCCUGGAGUUGGUCGCCUGAACAUAAGUAAGGCGGCCCGGCAAAAAAAGCCGUUAUCCAAAGGAGAGCGCAAGGAGCGUACCCUUUCCCUAUGGGGAUCAUCCAGGCGAAUGGUGUUUGACCCGAUGGAAAUUCCUUGCGAACUAAGGUGGUACCGCGAAGCAACCCUUCGUCCUUUUU
RNAcentral lists this non-coding RNA (272 nucleotides) under Schnuerera ultunensis. Its description in RNAcentral is "Clostridium ultunense T-box sequence". It matches the Rfam family "T-box leader". From Rfam's summary of the family: Uncharged tRNA acts as the effector for transcription antitermination of genes in the T-box leader family. T-boxes are found upstream of many aminoacyl-tRNA synthetase genes and some amino acid biosynthetic genes usually in Gram-positive bacteria. Lineage: Bacteria; Bacillati; Bacillota; Tissierellia; Tissierellales; Tepidimicrobiaceae. The record is from RNAcentral.